AUCUUCAGCUUCGAUAACAUCGAUGUAUGGAACAAAAGUCAACACCCAAUACUUGAUGUUUUGGUGAGGUUCUUCUCUCUUUUUGAGGAGGAAAAGAAGUGUAUUCUACAAAGGUUUUUGAGAGAAUGCCUGGGGAGCUGUAAACAUGGCAAAAUAAACCACAACAGAGGUAAUACAAAUUAGAGACCAGGACUGCUGACAGGGUUUCUCAUGCACCGACUAUAAUAACUUACCUCCAAGUUUUCAACAAAGAAGGGCUUUAUGAGGCACCUGCCAUUUGUCAUGGAAUCAACUGCUAUCUUUUAAAAUAGCCUGUUUCUCUGGGCAUAGGCAACAAUGAUCUUAAAUCACAUAGAUAAGAAGUUUGAUCCACCUUUUCCCCUCUUCCUCUUUGAGGUGGGAUGCUGUGUCUAGGAAGACACAAGCUAAAAUUCAUUAUUCCUUAUUACAUGUAAGUGCUUACAGAAAUGAUCAGACUUCUCUAAAGCUCAGUGGUUUUCAGCCCCAUCAAAUGUCCUCCCAGGUUCAUUUGCAGAAACUGGCUUUGUUUAUCAGUGUGUAUUGCCAGUGUGUUUGCAACACUUGCAGUGCAGGAAAAUGCAUGCCGUAAAUGAACUCUUGUUGCUUCGCAUCUGUGAGUUCUUCACAGAAUCACAGAAUCAUAGAAUUGCAGGAGCUGGAAGAGACCUCAAGGGAUCAAGUUCAACCCCCCUGCUACAGCAGGUACCCUACAGUAGGUCGCACAGAGGGCUAAAACUGGGACCCAAUCCACAUCUCAGUGAAGUCAGCAGGAGUCCUUCCAUUGACUUCAAUGGGCGUUUAAUCCAGCCUCUGUUUGGUCUCCAGUUUCUGGUUAUUAAACUUCUUUCCUCCUUACUGAUGAUAAAGACAGGUUUCAGUGUGGUUGGCAUGCAGCACACGUCAAUCCCACCCUUAGCCAUGAGCUUCUUAAGGGGAUGCAUCUACCAAAAGCACCUUUCCUGGGAGAAGGGACUGCUGUGGAACUUGACACUGUCAAACUCUUCUUCUCUGCUACUUCUCACAGCUUUUGUUAUGCUUCUUAUACUCUCAUUGUUCAAGGAAAAAUUGUUUCAAAGCUCUGAUUUUUGCAAGUCUUCCUGAUGUUAGCUCUUUUCUUUGAGUGCCAGCUGUCCUAGGAUUUAGGUAACUAAACUAUUUGAUUGAUAACAAAUAACAGCCUCAUACCCAGAGUUUUGGAUGUGUCUUGUAAGUAGUGUGCCUCAAACCAGUUCGCAAUUAAUUAAUAACCCACGUCAUCUAACAAAGCCAAAUCUAGCAACAUCAGUAUUUAAAAUCUCAUUCUGGUAGCUCACAGAAAUCACUAAAAACCCAAGUUCUGGAAAUCACUUUGCCUUAAAAAAUGUUUUCCUUCCACUAAUGUACUUGUUAAGUUUGAAGCUAUUUGUGCUGCUGCUGAUGCCAUUAAAACAUUGAAAAU
Gallus gallus (chicken) is the source of this 1459-nucleotide long non-coding RNA. RefSeq lists it as uncharacterized. The transcript has 7 exons. NCBI's taxonomy places the organism in Eukaryota, Metazoa, Chordata, Aves, Galliformes, Phasianidae. The record is from RefSeq and is a predicted model, not a curated record.